UACGUAGGGUGCGAGCGUUGUCCGGAAUUAUUGGGCGUAAAGAGCUUGUAGGCGGUCUGUCGCGUCUGCUGUGAAAAUCCGGGGCUCAACCCCGGACUUGCAGUGGGUACGGGCAGACUAGAGUGUGGUAGGGGAGACUGGAAUUCCUGGUGUAGCGGUGAAAUGCGCAGAUAUCAGGAGGAACACCGAUGGCGAAGGCAGGUCUCUGGGCCACUACUGACGCUGAGAAGCGAAAGCGUGGGUAGCAAACAGG
RNAcentral lists this ribosomal RNA (253 nucleotides) under uncultured bacterium. RNAcentral describes it as "partial 16S ribosomal RNA". It matches the Rfam family "Bacterial small subunit ribosomal RNA", at positions 524 to 776 of the family's 1533-position model. The record is from RNAcentral.